GGAAGUGUGCCCGAGACAGGGAUUACCUUGAUAGAGUAAACACAGGAUUACAACCCUCACUUCCU
Molecule: transfer RNA, 65 nt
Filed under: Python regius (ball python)
Lineage: Eukaryota; Metazoa; Chordata; Lepidosauria; Squamata; Pythonidae
Description: tRNA-Ile
Source: RNAcentral